CGACCGGAUGCCCUGGACUCCGCCCUGCUGCGCCCGGGACGACUGGACCACAUCAUCUACGUCCCGCCACCCGACCUGGAGAGUCGUCUGUCCAUACUUAAGUUGAGCACAAAGUUGAUGCCAGUCGCUGAUGACGUUUGUUUGGACGAGUUGGCCCAAAAGACGGACCUCUUCUCGGGAGCGGAUUUGGAAAAUCUUUGUAAAGAGGCGGCGCUGUUGGCUCUGCAGGAAGAAACCAUGGAGGCUUCUCAAGUUGGACACAAAUAUUUUCUCUUGUCUCUCAGUAAAAUGACUCCAUCUCUGAUAUUACAGCAGAUUCAGAUGUACCAAAAUCCACCAGCAUAACGCAUCAAAAUUAAAAUAGUACUAACAAUCUAAAUUCUUGCUUGGUUUUGUUUGUUAUUCAACUAUCUAUUUCAAGCUGUGGGUCUCAAAACGUUUUAACCAUUGCCAUUGCAUUAUUUUUUAUUUUACCCAAAAUGUUUUAAUUGAUCCAAAAAAAUAAAUAAAUGCCUACACCAAGAAUAAACAUGUUUUAAAACAGGCAUCUCAGACACGCGGCCCGGGGGCCAAAUGUGGCCCGCGAGGUAAUUUUUUGUAGCCCGCGAGAUGAUGUCAAGAUUAUUUAUAUUAUAUGCGGCCCGAUGGUAAAUUGCAUUAAACACGUUAGAACUACAUUUCCCAUGAGGAAUCUCAC
RNAcentral lists this long non-coding RNA (697 nucleotides) under Neogobius melanostomus (round goby). Its description in RNAcentral is "lncRNA (ENSNMLG00000004222.1)". Lineage: Eukaryota; Metazoa; Chordata; Actinopteri; Gobiiformes; Gobiidae. The record is from RNAcentral.